This 64-nucleotide transfer RNA is filed under the name Clostridium merdae. It matches the Rfam family "tRNA", at positions 7 to 64 of the family's 71-position model. From Rfam's summary of the family: Transfer RNA (tRNA) molecules are approximately 80 nucleotides in length. Their secondary structure includes four short double-helical elements and three loops (D, anti-codon, and T loops). Lineage: Bacteria; Bacillati; Bacillota; Clostridia; Eubacteriales; Clostridiaceae. The record is from RNAcentral.
UCGGUAGUUCAGUUGGUUAGAACGCUAGCCUGUCACGCUAGAGGUCGACGGUUCGAACCCGUUC